This 449-nucleotide ribosomal RNA is filed under the name uncultured bacterium. Its description in RNAcentral is "partial 16S ribosomal RNA". It matches the Rfam family "Bacterial small subunit ribosomal RNA", at positions 29 to 523 of the family's 1533-position model. The record is from RNAcentral.
AGCGAACGCUGGCGGCAGGCCUAAAACAUGCAAGUCGAACGCCCUAGCAAUAGGGAGUGGCAGACGGGUGAGUAACACGUGGGAACGUGCCUUUUGGUUCGGAACAACACAGGGAAACUUGUGCUAAUACCGGAUAAGCCCUUACGGGGAAAGAUUUAUCGCCAAAAGAUCGGCCCGCGUCUGAUUAGCUAGUUGGUGGGGUAACGGCCCACCAAGGCUACGGCCAGUAGCUGGUCUGAGAGGAUGAUCAGCCACACUGGGACUGAGACACGGCCCAGACUCCUACGGGAGGCAGCAGUUAGGAAUCUUGGACAAUGGGCGCAAGCCUGAUCCAGCCAUGCCGCGUGAGUGAUGAAGGCCUUAGGGUUGUAAAGCUCUUUCAGCGGGGAAGAUAAUGACGGUACCCGCAGAAGAAGCCCCGGCUAACUUCGUGCCAGCCGCCGCCGUAA